RNAcentral lists this long non-coding RNA (13379 nucleotides) under Brachypodium distachyon (stiff brome). RNAcentral describes it as "long non-coding RNA (BDIS_LNC006012)". The record is from RNAcentral. Lineage: Eukaryota; Viridiplantae; Streptophyta; Magnoliopsida; Poales; Poaceae.
GCAAGUAUUUGAGGUGGACGAAUUUGCUAGGUAGUGUUGGCGUACUGAUCAUCUGCACAAACAUGCCUCAAAUUAAUUGUAAUGACUAUUGUGACAGCAAAUAGCUAGUCCAUACAAUCAUGUAAACUUCUCAAGCAUACCUCAUUAUUUGAGGUUAUGCUAAGGGUUUCAUUAUUUGAGGUUAUGCCAUACAUCGGUCACAAUAAGAGUACAGAAAACGAUGGGAUACAACAAGCACAAGCAAUCUGACGUGCACCCCAGAUUACAUAGAUCUCAUUUGGCAUAUUCCGUUAGAUUAUUAUCGCGGGAGGUUGAAACUUGGAAAACAUAUUGCAAAAGAAUUUACAAUUAGGCCAAACUAUUUUCCUAAUAUGUGUUUUUAGUUUUUACAUAAGGCUGGGUGUAAUUUAACAGGACUUUCCACUAGCUUAGGGAAAGUUUGUUCAAAGGGCUCUCAUCUUUCACUUAACAUCCUUGGUGGAUGCUGGCCCCUCUCAUACUAGAAACUCAAUCAAUCUUCAGUGUUUCUCAGGGUGCUAUGCAGAAGACGAGCAACCAAGCUGCAAACAGCCUGGUGGAUGGGAGACGAAAUAAAUUGACUAUACUCGGAGCAUAAGCUACACUACUGCACUAAAAACAUGUUUGAUAUGAGAUGCGGACUAAGGGUAUGAUUGAUGAACACGUUUGCAUAUCGGAAAUUCAGAACUCGGAACAAGCACAUCAGAUGCAGAUUAGGAGUAGGAAUUCAGAUUACUUUAUUGCUGCUGGUCUAACAAGUAGACUCGAGGUGUCCAGCCAGAAGCCGGGCAGCGACUCAUAGACUGUCAAAGGACUUGUUGAGUCACGGAGGGUCAAAGGAGUGCUCGAGGUAGGUAACCCUUGAAUUGCCACCAACGACCCCCUGCUACAAACACCAACUCCUCUCCCUUUCCUCGAUGCACAUGCCGCCACCGCAGUGCCCCGCCAACACCAACACCUCCCCAGCACUAACCCUCAAAAGUCGCUGCCUGGAUGAGCAGCGGCGAGAGUGCCCGCGGCUGCCCGUCUUGGAGCAAGGUGAAAUCUUAGGCGGGCGGAGCGCCUGGCUUAACCGUGAAGCCGCAGCUGCGCCUAGCGCUUAGGGACACACUUGCAAGUUGCAAUCUCUUGAAACUUUCUGGCAGAUUAACUCUCUUCCAAGGAGAAAUCCACAUUGGCACCCUUGAGCUAGCCUACUCGACUGCAAACCUUUCUUUUGUGCCCGAACAAAAAUAAACGGCAGUAGCCCGACUUAGAACUACCUAACUGAAUCAGCUUGCUCCGCCUUAAACACACAAAAACUUGAGUUUUUUUUACCCCUUUCCAACAUAUCUAACGGAUGUGAAAGAGAAAUACACCGACACAUACAUGAAUCGUGGAGGGAAAGAGAAAGGGGUUUAGGGUGUGUACCGUCCUGGAUUUGCCGGCGGUGAUGGUGCCGGUGCCGGUGCCGCUUCGUGGACAUGAGCCUCAUCUCUGCGCCAGAUCUAGCUUGAAACGACGCCUUGGAUCGAGAUGAACGCGAAAGUAUCCCGAAGCUCUUACUGAGGUCCAGGCAUCCGAUUACCGAGAGGCGGAGUAGGAGAUCGUGUCAGCUCCGGCGCCGCGCCAAAUCUGUGCGAGGAAGCUGGAUGGAGUUCGACUCCACUGCUGCGGAAAGAGAAAAAAUAAUCGAGUACGUGUGUAAACCUGGCUCUCUGCAUUAGUUGUUGGGUCUCUUGGCCCAGUGCAUCCGCGGUAUCUCAAAACGGGCUCCAACGUGGCCCAAUCCUUCUGUCUUCUCUUCGGGGCAAUUUGGCGGCUAUUUCUUAGCUACCAGAUUUGCCUUCCCUCAAAAAAAAAAAAAAAAACUACCAGAUUUGCCCUCUCAAAACAAAAUAAAAUACCGCUACACCGCCAGACAGCUCGACGGAACCCUAACCUUCAGGAACUGUCGAAUCAGCAUUUUAAUUUUGGUUCCCCUCAUCUCCAACCACCUACUUGGCUUCGGAUGAUGAGGGAAACCAUAGACCAGCGUUUGGUUGUAAUUUGUUUACAUAGUUUGUGAACUUUUGUCUCGACGACAUCUUGGUGGAGGAGACGAUGGCGUAUGGAAUAAUGGUCUCCGAGUUCCAUCUUCUUUCCAACGUAGUCAACACGAUCCACUCCAUGGAGCCGGCGAAUCUCGUGGUUUGUAUUUUUGUUAUUUUGGUCUUUUUCCUAGUCGUUUCGGCGAUGAAUCGGUGGUUCGACAACAUGUCUUGCAAUUGGUGUGUCCCUAGCCACAGUGUUUCAACGAUCUUAUGUUCUCCAUCGGUUGCGGUGAGCGAUUCAUACAGCUAUUCAAAACCUAUGAGGUUAGUUUAGCUUGUGCAGUUCUGAUCUUUUGCAAUUUCAUCAGCAGAGACAUGGAGAGUUUUUAAGAUACGGAACAAGACAUUUUUACUUCAAAGAAUCUUUAUGUAACUUUUAGUUUCAUUAGUUUUUUUUGUUGUUGAUUUUCGUUCCAAUUUCGGUGAGUUGUACUUUUAUUAAAUCGAUAAAGUCAGAUGUUUCUAAAAAACUACUGGAUUUGUGUGUCAGUUCAAACGCAACGAGAGGCUCGAAACAGAAUGCUGCAAAACCAGUAUCCGCACCAAGGAGUAGAAUCUUCGAGAAGAACAAUGCUCUCUCCCUGAAGUUAAGUUUGAUACGUUCAAUGAUAAAAUUAUCAACGACAUUUGUGCAUAUAUGUCAAGAACGUGGUAUCAUAUUAUGUCCCCAGAUAAUUACCAAUACAGCACAUCUGGCCAUAGUGCACUCAAACAACAACUGCGGCAAGGAUUCAUCUUUGUGCUACAAAAAUAGCAUCUUAGACUCCCAAGCCAUUGUCUUUUGGUAUAUGGAUAUGACCUCCCACUUGCACGGGGCAUUUCAUGCUUAACACUUUACGUUUCGGAUAAGCUAGCUAUCGCAUCGGCAUCAUUGAUUUGCAUGGGGUUAUCAAAUUUUGUUGAGUUCAUUUGAACCCAACGCUGAUGCCGCAGCUCUGCUCCUAUGGUCACGGUCUCACGGACGGAGCCAGGACCGGAGAAGACACAAUUGGAUACGUGUCGCUGUCGUGUACUAGAUUUUUUGAUGAUAUCUUUACGAUUCUUUAAUUUCAGUUACGCCUGUCUCCUCCCACAAAAUUCACCCAAAAUUACAAUCCAUGCCACCGCAACCGAAGGUCAAACAGCCACCCGAAUCUCCACACGUGGCCCAGCACAAAUCCCCCGUCUCUCGCAUCGCAUCUCAGCUUUGACGCUCGUUUCUGCCGGGUUGCCGCCGCCGCCGUCGCCAUUAGGCCCUUCCACCUAAACCUAAUCUCCUCUCGCCGCCAGGUCACCUCGAGAAGGAUGGAUGGCCGCCCCCAGUGUUCCAUGCCUCCUCCUUCGUCGCCACUCGCCGCGCGGUCCGAUCAUCCGUGCUUCUCCGGUCGGACCUCGGCAGAUCCACGCGGGCAGCGACCCUGUUCGUCGGCGGCGCAUCGAACCAUACGGUCCUCCGCAACCUCCCUGCCCUAUCUUUCUUCUAGAUCGUCGCCGCCGAACUGAAAGGCAAGUUCUGUUUUGAACGUUGGGUUGUUCCAUUGUAGAUUGGUGAAGCUGGUAGAUUAUAGACUGGGUUCUCCUAAUGAACAGGUUGAGAGCCAUCGCGGUUUGCCAAGCUAUACUGCAGAAUUUCAUCAGAUCACAAUGUUGUCUUUACAACGAAGUGAAAUUUGAAGCUUAAAAAAAUACAAAACACUAAACUGAAACAUGUUUUCUGUGCUCGAUUCUCAAAUUAUUGGGCCCUUUCCUGGCUUCACUAUUGAAUUACAAACACUGGUUUGCAUGAACCCCAAUAAGUACAUUGCCAAUGCCACAAUGUUUUCAGUGAUUUACCAUUUUUCCUUUGUUCAGGAGGAGCUUGAAAAACAGGGAUCUGUGCGUACUAUAUGAUGCUCCAAGAAGAAGGUGAGCAUGCCAGGAAAGACUUAGGUGAGGGUUUAGGAGAUGUUGUGUCAAUUAUUCUUUGAACUCCUCUUUCCAUGGUUUGUUCUGUACUUGAAACUAUCAGCCAUCUUAGAAACAUUAUUGGUGGUAAAACUUUUAUUGGCAUACAACACUUUACUCUGGCGAGAAUUGUUUGUGAGUUAUCAAACAGUCUUAUGCUUAAACAGAUAUGUAGUGAUUGAGUUACAUCUCAUUGUGAUUUAUUUAUUUUCCUUUUAGUUGUUAAACUUAUGCUGGUUGUCUCCUAAAGAACCUUUAAAUCUAUAUGGUAUACUUUUAUAGUUUGCAGUAUCAGAGAACCAAACUUAACAUGAUUAUCUAAAUGUUCUUUUUUUCUGAGAAUAAAUAAUAUCUUGUUGAUUUGAUAAAAAAAGAAUAACAUCAUGCUAGACAUCUCAAUUUCAAGACCUUGCUGCAGUUUAUAUCAACUAUAUCGCCAUGCUGGACUUUGGGAAAAUUGUUGAGUCUAAUGUAGGGGAAUUUGCAUCUCAGUUUCUCAAUUUUAGUUGGCCAAAAAAUUUGUUUGGGGUGUGCUAAGGAUGUAUUUGCAUCAGUUGAUCAGUGUUCUUAUUAAGCUGUUGUACAGGGAAACAUCAUAUACAAUUGUUAAUGUUUGAGUACAAAUUAAGGUAGAUCCAAUCUUUCGGGGUUUUUUUCUUCCGGAAGGAGUCUCUAUUGAGGAUGGUAAUUCCUUCCUCAUGUCAAAUUAGAUUACACUAACAAUUUUGUUUUUGCACCUCAACAAAGGUGUCAGCUGUUUGUAUUUAUGUCCAUCAGGUGAUUCGUCCAAACACUCAUCUCCGGAGUUCAAGAUCUAUUUAUUUUCUUUUCUUUCCUGUAGAUGAUAUCUAUCUUCUUUGCUUGUGUAGAAUAAAAAAGCAGGAAGGUAGUAAAAUGAUGGUUUGAUACAUGAUAGAUUUCAUAUAGAGGGUGCAAGAGCUACACUUUAACUUGGUAGCAGAAAGCUUAGGUUAUACUAUCUUGUUAGAGUUUUGCCUUCAAAAAAACAAGUAUCUUACCAUGAAUCCAAAAUUUCUUUCAAGCUGAGUUUUCUUGAUUGCUUUUUCGAUACAAAUGUUGAUAAGAGGGUACCAGCCUCUUCUAUAAUUUUUCAUAUGCUUGUUCUCUUUCACUCUAUCAUUUGUUCAUCAUAAGAUUAUUUAUAUUUUGGAGUCCUUGAUAUGGCUGUGAGUUAAGAAUAGAGACAGGGCAAUCAAAUAGAUCCUUCAUUAUAUGUUUUACCUUGUUUCUCCUGCAGGUAACUCAACUUUUGUCGUUUGUUGAUGUAGGCUUUUAGUUUGUAUAAGAGAAGUUUUACAAUGCCCUUUGAAACUUGCCUUUUUUUCCCCUUCUUUUCAGAGGAGGAGCUCGCUAAUUGUUGGGAAAAAAGAAUAAUUGUUUAUGGAUCUACAUUCGUUGUUGUUCAUCGUAGCAAAGUAUGGAUCAAUCCGAAGGUUCUCUUGUGUUAAUGCUGGUAGGCUACUAGAUGUAUUUUACAUUAUGGAUCAUCGCUUGCCAAGACUUGUAGUGUACCUAGCGAGCUUGGGAUUAACAUAUAGAAUCUGGCAUAAUUGGCAUAACUGCAUAAUCAGUAGCCACCAAAAGAGAGGGAGAAGAGAAAAUCCUACUUUAUCAUCAAGUAAGAAUGGAUAUAAAGUUCUGCAUGAUAAUUGAUCUGUACAGUGUCUUGAGUAUUGCUUUAUAGGAACAUUGGAUCUGAAAUGAUUUUACAUGUGAGUAUUCAUUUACAGGCAUUGGGUCCGAAUGGAUUUUUCAGUGUGGCAGUUUAAGGGCAGUGCAGUUUUGGACAAGGGCCAUUGGUGUUGUCAAUACAGUAUUGCAAUGGAGGUAGGUUGUGCAGGGCUGGUGAAUUUUAUAUUUUAGGCAGUUUGGAGUGGCACUUUGUGAUCCACAGAAGACUCCAUCAUUUUGCCAACUAUAUCAUCUGUUCUGUCCGUGAGGACUAAACCCGCAGUGCAGGUGGUUAAUGAGAACCACCCCGAAAAUCAUACUAGAGUAUUAUACUAAUCCAAGUUAACAAAAAUCUUCAUUGUUCCUGCUUGUUGCCAACUCCCAACAUUACCUUGCUAUUUCCUCUUCCCACACAUAUCAAGUAAUUUUUCGUCUUUGGUUUUACCUCAUGACUACGAAAUAUUUUCGUCUUUGGUUUUACCUCAUGACUACGAAAUCUGAACACUGUUUCGAUCUACCCUGCAGGGUUCUCUGUCUUGGAGUGUUCAUACUUUUAGCCUUGUAGAAUUCUCUCCAUCCAUGCACAGUUGGCACAUGUGGCUCUUGGGUGGUAUCUUCUUCCUGUACAUAAAUCUGGUAUGUACCUGUAAAUAUAACUUUACCCCUGCUGCACCACACCAACUUACCUCAACUAAUGUUCUUGCCUUCUUGGAUCCUUGAUAGAUGGCAUGUGGCACAACUUUGGAACUCAAGAAUGCACUAGUAUGUCUGUGAAGAUAUAACUCCUAUUUGUGCCUUUGAGGGAAGGUCAGUAAAGCCCUGCUGAAAUUCAUGAUCGCUUUAGCUAUGCUAGAUUGUACCCAAUGUGCAACAGUCAAACUUUUAUUGCCUCAUGAGGCCUAGGUUAGAGAGAACUUGCUGCUUUCUUGAUAAGUUGGUAGUCUAGCUUUUGAGCACGCUUAUAAUCAGAAUACAUUGCCAUUCUGAAUUAAAUAACAUAAGAGAGUUUUUAGUUGAUACUUAUAGUCGUAAUGGCAGAGAACACUUGUUGUUAGGUAAUUGAUGGAUAUUGAUUGAGCAAGAGCCUCGAGUUUGCUAAUUUUAUUUUUAUUAUUGCCUGGAGUGGAGUAUGAGUUGAUUUUAUUCUCUAAUUGAUUUGGAAUAUUUUUCCAUCCCACCAAUGCCAAAUCAGACUAUAUCGAGCAUUCAUUAUUGCAUUCUGAAAAAUUAGAGUGUAUUGUAAAUCUGAUGUUUUUCUUCUAGUCUGAAGUUUUUCAAGCGGUCAUUCAUUUUGUGUAACAUAAUUUUGCUAGCCUGUUCAACCAGUGCUUCCAUACUAAUGUCCACAAUGGCAAAACUAUCACGCAUGCAAUAGCAGGAACAUCGCUAGUGCCCUGUGAUGACUGAUGACCUUGCGUUGCAUGGGCCUCUCAAUCAUUCUUUGGUGUGUGUCCAUUAGGGAUGCAAACAGGAUCCCGCGAAAGUCCUGCUUCUAGUUCAAUUCUCAAAUCUCCUAUUCAAAUUCUGAACAAAAUUUUGAAUAGAAGAUUUGAAAAAUGAACUAGAAGCGGGACUUUUGCGGGAUCCUGUUUGCACCCGUAGUGUCCAUUAUCUCCUCAUCCCCUUGGCAUUAUUAUGACUGGAAUAUGAAAACUUCUUUGUACUGGAGUUAAACUCUUAUUUAGCUUUGCAACCUAGAUUUCAUAUUUGCUCAUUUCUUUGAACUACCCUACCAAGCUCCACAUAAGCUUUCCACAAACAGAUGUAGAUAGGGAAACACUUCCAUCCCUGACUAGAAAGGAAUAUUUUGUGUGAGAGAGUAAUUCGAAAUCAUGAUGAUGUAAUUUCACUUAAGACUUGCUCUUGGAAGGUUAACAAGGGAAUAAAAUUGUUGGGUACUCUUGUUUUCUAUUGUUCUUGACAUUGAAGUCGAACAACCUAGUGACUUAGUGUUAAAAAACUUUGAAAGCUAUAUUGUUGAUGCUAUUCACUCCCAUAAAAUGAAACCAAUUCUCUUGGCAAUGAAUAAAGUUGUUUUCUAAGCUUGUGCUCAAUUGUUAGCAUGCUACUUUGAUAAGUUUGUGGAAAGUCUCUCGACCCGAAGUUUAUGUGGGAUUUAAUAAUUGUUUGCACAUAAACACUUGUUUGCAAUCUCCAUGCUAAGCUUUCAGGCAAUUUACAAGCGCGUGGGCAAGUUGAAUCAGGAGCUCAGGUCCUAUAAUGAAAUUUGGUCUGCCAUUUACCGCGGGUUGAGAUUUUUUUUUACUUGAGGUAGUCAACAAAGAGAAGUUUCAGAUAAACUGUAUAUACCUUGUAUUUCUCUUGGUAGCCACUUUCUUUCUUCCCGAGGAUAUGUAAUGAAGAGAAAAUGGGUUGCUUCUGUAGUAGUUUUCCUACAAAUGGUACAAAAGCAGACAAAUUAUUUCAUUCAUUCUUCUCAAUAUGGGCAUCUUGUAAAAAUCUUUUCAAUAUUCGAUCUGACUCAUGUCAUUUGUCGGAAUAAUUCUAAUAAUAAGUUGUCUAGCGUCAUGAUUACGUCUAUUAGUUGCUUAAUAGUUUCUUCCGGGGGAAACGACCGGCCGUCCGAACACCGCUUUGCAUAAUUAAUUCCUCCGUUCGUUUGUUUGUUGGCCUGCUUAAUAAGUUCGUUCUCUUAUUGACAGUUAAUUCUAUAGGGAUCCUCAAUUUUGUGUGCUUAUUGUAUUCAUAGCAAACUUCACCCUGAUUCAUAUUAGUUGUCGAAAUAUUAAAUGUAUGUAGAUGUUUUUAGACAUAGAUACAUUCAUAUUUGGUCAAAUUUGAGACAAUAUGGAUCGGAGGGAGUAUUUAAUUCUUUCUCGAAAUUAAGCUAGCUCAGGCACACAGCUGCAUCGAUCUCCAAAUUAAGCUACUCCCUCCGUUCACAAAUAAGUGUAAGUUUGGGUUUAAAAUUUGUCAAAAAAAAUGUACUUCUUUUUAAAGCACUUUAGACAAAAAAAAGGGUUUUGCUAUUUCUUAGGCGACUGAGAAAUAACUAUUUCUUAGUCGAUGAUAACAACAUUUUGAUUCAAUCAUUGAGAUUCAUGUAAGAUUAAUGUAGGUUCGAUGGAUAAGGAAAUCUCGAUUGGAUGGCUAUGAUUGUUGACUAAGAAAUAACUAUUUCUUAGGCGACUGAGAAAUAGACACUUUCAAAAAAAUUGCUUCUUUCCCAUUACACGGAAAUCAAACCCAAUAAUAUUUUUUCAUGCAUUUAGAUCAUUGGAGAUGGGAGAAUUAAAGAUGAGAGAGAUGGUGGUUGGCACCUUUGUAAUGCAUUUUCUAUUCCACUUUUUAUUUUUAUUUCGAAAUUCCAACAUUUACACAUUUCUAAUGCAUGUACCCAAUGGCGAAGUUCAUCGCUGACACCUAGCUAGGAUGGCCACUUCUCUGGUGGCAGGCCGCUGCGUUUGGCUUGGAGCACUACUACUCCCGAACACUUGUGUAUUUCUCUUAAUUUCACCGGUUAAUAAUAAAGUCGGGCAUGUUUUCUAAAAAAAAAAAAGGUUAAAUGUUGUUUGUCUGGUACAAGACAUGGUUGUUCUGCGUCCUUAACUUUGUGGGAAAACAAAAUAGAUGAAGAAGUAUGGCUGGGCAAUUGAUCGAUGGGUGGUUCGUGUCGUGGUUGUGAUUAGUUAUCCACGGCAUGUUUUAACAAUGGUCGAUCAGGAUGGAUUGUGCUCCUUGCAUCCAUUGGAUGCGGGUUCUCAAUAGGCAAACACACAGGGAAAUUCAGUGCUGAAUGCUGAUGUUCACGACCGAUAAGCUUGCAGAACACGGCGACUAGCAUGGACGAGUGCCAGCCAGGCCUUGGCUGGAUCCUUGGCUUCGAAAUUUCAUUUCCGCGCUAUAAAAUACCCCCACCCCAAAUCACAGCGCGCAUCUCCCUCGACCUCCGCCUACGGCUCCAAAAUCGACCACCAAUCCACCAUGGGUCGCCUCCUUCAAAGCCCCAAAAUAUGUUCAUUGGAUGAACUCCAGGAUUACAUCCAGAAUCACCCGUCUCUGGAGAGCGCCUGUAUCACGAUUGAGGGCGUCCACGUGCGAGACGUGUUCGACAUGCUCCAACUUCUGAACUGCAAGCCGGAUUGGCGUUUCGAGAACAGCGAUUGUAUCCUGGCCGAGGGCAGGAGAUUUGCCAUGUGUUUGGAGAAUCUCGAGUUUCUCCUGGAUCAACUGAUUGAGGGGACUGGUGCGGACGUCCGAGCGGCUGCCAAUGCCCUCUUGCUAGAGGCCGUGAAGUUCAGGAGUCUCAUGAGAGAGAAUCCGGGAUUCCGUUCUCUAGUUCUAUUCGCCGAUUCUAUUGUGAAAGUCGGUCAGCGCUCUGUCCAAGCCGUGUCUGAGGAGGAGGACGCCUCCAGCGCGGUGGAGCCUGAGGACGCGGCUGACGGUCAGCACGGGCACGGGGUUGGCGAUGGGGACGAAGACGAGGAUGGGCCUGACGGUCAGGAAGGGGAUGGCGAGCACGAGGCCGUUCAAAUUGGGUCACUGCUUGGGGCGCUGCGGGAGACCAAGGCUGCGCUGAAGCGGUUGCCGGAGGUGAGAAUCGUCUUCAACAGCGAGACCACUACCAAUCUCUCCUACUCCGACUUCCCUGGGGGUGUCUUCGCCUACCACAUCAACCCCGGCUCGUCUGGCUGCGCCUCAAACACCGAAGAGCCGCCCGCCGCUCCAGAGUCCGCCGCCCCCACCGACAAUCCUGACAAGCCGCCCGCUGCUGCGGAGUCCACCGAGCCACCCGCGGCUGCAGAGUCCGCCGCCCCCACCGACCACCCUGACGAGCCGCCCGCUGCUGCGGAGUCCACCGAGCCACCCGCCGCUGCAGCACUGCCCACCGCCUAGCCGCCAAACGAUCGAGUAAGUUCGCUGGUGUGCAGGAGUCGUCUAAUUCGUCCUCGUGAUUCUGGAAAUUGUGCAGGCGUUGAGGCCUUAGGGUUGGGAAAUUCCGAUCACCUGAGUACUGAUUUGAUUUCGCUGUAUUGGUUAAGAAGUGCAUCUUUGUCAUCUUAAUUCAUGUACAGAGUUGGGCGCCCUGAUUUUGAUUUCGCUGUGUGGCUUAACAAGUGCAGCUUAUGUACAAAGUUGGAUCCCCUGAUUUUGAUUUCACGGUGUUGGUUAAGUGCAUAUUGUAGUUUUAAUUCACUAGUAUUUGAUAAUGCUGUGAUUUGAUAUGAUAGGUCCUUUCAGUUGUGUAGUACUGUAGUGUGUUGCUCUGUUGCUGCCUGUUCUCAAGGUUCUUUUUACAGGAAGUGAAAAACAGAAAGAGAGUUUCAUUAAGCGACUGUUUUAGUAGACUUUGCACAUGUAAGGGAAAGAACAGAUAAAAAGGGACAGAAGGUGUUGAAUCAUAUUGGUUUCUACUUUCUAAUGCUGCAGACAAGUUCCUGAAUUAUGCUUAUUUGAUUAUUUCAGUAGUAAUCCGCGCCUUCUUUGUCAGUUAUAUGUUAUAUUUGUCUUCUCCAAAAGAGUUGAUGGUUGAGAUCAAGCAUAUAUGUGAGUGAAUAGAUCUUGUCUUAGCCAUUCUGAUUCUUUUGGAAGGGGGGUUUGGGAGGAUUUUGGCUGCCAGAAUGCUGGAUAAAACAGGUGUGGCAAUUUUUUUUGUCCAUGCAAUUUAUCCCUUCUUUUAAUGUUGUUUAUUUAUCUCAGGCAAUCUCACAGGUUUAAGUACCAAUAAUAAAUAUUCAGCUUGUUCAGAGGUAGUUUAUUUCCAACAUUUCCUUCAUUAUGCUACUUGGUUGUUGUGGGCUCACCUGGAAACUGAGUUGUGCUUUCUUUCUGGUUGCUGGGAGCCUGGGAAACAAUAUUUUCCAAUAGACAUCUUUGAAAGCAGAGGGGCUGGGGAUUAUUCUGUACCUUCAAACUGAGUCUGUUCAUCCAUUUAUAACAGUAGUAUUGUGGUCAAGCUGUGAUGGAAACAUUGGUUGGAAGGUUUAAAUUCUUGAUUACCGAGGAGCGUUUCUAUGGGAAAAGAAAACAAAAAAACACAUGCUCCAUGAGCCUGUUUGUUUCUUUGUAGCGUUAAGAAAUGAUUUUUUUCCCGAAUUUCUCAGAAUCUGAGCUAACUGUUGACAUCAUGUGUUCAAUGCAUCUAAUUACCCAGCAUCAUUUUAUCUGCAUUGUAUGGCAUACUGCAUUACUGUUACCCUUCAGAUGCAACAAGAGCCAAAGGUUGUGGCUGGCAAUGCAUGUUUCAGUAGUAUUCUUCUUUUAUGUACAUACAUAUAGUGAUGUUGGGUAUCCCAACAGGAUAGUAGAGCAGAGCUUAGCUGUUGGGUUCAUGUCGGAAAGCAAUCAUCUUCUACUUUGUUUUUUGAACUAAAUCAUCUUCUACUUGGUGAGAGAGUUUCGAAAAAAAAAUCUUCUACUUAGUGAGGAUGGAGAGAGAUCGGAAACGACAUCGUCAUGUACAUGGACGCGGCGUUCGUGAACGAGGCCGCUCGGUUCUACGCCGUGUAAUUGUAAACCAUCACAUUUUUUAUUUGAAGGAAAGCCAGCAUGGCAACUUUAUUGAUUUGUAAAAACAUUUACAUCGUUCACAAGUAAAGAACUGAUAAAAUCCUCGAGCGACACUGCUCACAUUCAGAUCAGUGCCCAUACUAAUCUCACGUAACGGUCCCAACGUAUUACCAACAGACCAAAUACUUUCAUCUAUGAUGAGCCAAUGUAGGGAAAAAAACAAAUAGAGAGCACGCGCUUAGCAAUUGGCAUGAGCAAUCUGUGGAGUAAAAAGUGCAAGCACGUGAUUAAACAUUAUACAAAGAUUUAAUGUUUACAUGAUUAAACAUUAAACACCGAUGCUAUCUCGAUGCUCAACAUCAUGGCAUCGUCUGCAAGGCUCGACAACAUCUAAUUUAACUCUAGAGGGAAUUAUUCCCUCAAUGUGUGUUCUAAUAGCCAAACGUGCUCUACAUGCCUCCACGAGGAAUUUCCUCCCCAUACGAGCACAUUGGCCAGGUUUAUCCACGGAACACCCAUCCGGGCUGAAGCUACCUCGAGUAGUAUCCAAUAAAAGGCACUCAAGUGCUGAUGCGUUCUCAACAAUAUGACAUGUCAACUCGACCAAGCUCUUGGCAGAGCUGAAGCCACCAAUCGACACACUCUUUAGCUUGUCAUGGCGAUGUUCUGGCAGCUGUCUCAGAUGUGAGGAAUCCCCAAUGAUCGACUCAUGCUUCAUACUCCGCCGUAUCACCUACAUAGAAAUCCAAGAUGCUCCCAUCAGUGGUUCAAGCAUACAGAAUCGCUAUUGCUUGCAAGCUGAGGCAGUAUAACUUACUUGAAAGAUGAAGGUCUCCAACCAAGGAGAAGCUUCAAGGAAAGGAACUAGAGAAAGAUAAUCGCAGGCUGGUGAAAUAGCCUCAUCUUCAUAUAGAGUAAAGCGCAAGUAUUUGAGGUGGACGAAUUUGCCAGGUAGCAUUGGCGUACUGAUAAUCUGCGGAAACAUGUCUCAGAUUAAUUGUAAUGGACGAAUUUGCCAGGUAGCAUUGGCGUACUGAUAAUAUGCAGAAACAUGUCUCAGAUUAAUUGUAAUGACUACUGAUACAUGCAAAUAGCUAGUCCAUACAAUCAUGUAAACUUCUGGAGCAUACCUCAUUAUUUGAUGCUAUGCUAAGGGUUUCAACAUUUGGCGCCCAGGAUAGAAGCUUGGUCCGAGCAUACCGA